UGUCAAUUUCUUUUUAUCUUUACAUGCCACUGUUGUCUAAGAAUUCACUUGGGUCCAUGCAAUAGCGCCUAAUGGAUUUUCCAGUCCACUCUUGAGACCCCUUUGAUCUCUUCUCUGCCUGGCAGCCAAAGCUGCAAGCAGAGGUCUCCAAGGCCCAAGCUGAAGGCAGAACCACAAGGUGGAAGAAACUCAGGUCUAUAAAUCAUUUUGGGAAGGAAAGCUGCUCACUGUCCA
Molecule: long non-coding RNA, 234 nt
Filed under: Mustela putorius furo (domestic ferret)
Lineage: Eukaryota; Metazoa; Chordata; Mammalia; Carnivora; Mustelidae
Description: lncRNA (ENSMPUG00000027294.1)
Source: RNAcentral